This 755-nucleotide long non-coding RNA is filed under the name Equus caballus (horse). RNAcentral describes it as "lncRNA (ENSECAG00000040677.2)". Lineage: Eukaryota; Metazoa; Chordata; Mammalia; Perissodactyla; Equidae. The record is from RNAcentral.
CCCUAAGCCAGUGACUGGUGUACUGACAAGAAGAGGAAAUUUGGACACAGGCACAUACAGAGAGAAAAUCUUGUGGAAGCUCAGAGAGACGACGGCCACCUACAAGCUGAGGAGAGAGGCCUCUGGAGAAACCAACCUUGUCCACACCUUGAUCUCAGACUUCCAGCUUCCAGACUGUCAGACAAUCACUCUGCUGUCUGGAAGCAGGAAAACAAGAUGGCACAUUCCUAGCAAGGGCCCAGUGUCCCUUCAGUUGACCCUGGUGGAGACCAACCACACCACCUUUGAGGACCCCUCUCCUGGAACAGUGGCUAAAUCGGAACCAUCCCAAAUCAAGGCAGGGCGGCUGUGGAAUGCUCAUUUGAGGAAGAUUCGUCCUGAGCUAACAUCCAUUGCCAAUGUUCCUCUUUUUGUAUGUGAGCCGCUGCCACAGCAUGGCCACUGAUAGAAGAGUGGUGUGGGUCCACGCCUGGGAACCAAACCUGGGCUGCUGAAGUGGAGCAUGCCAAACUUAACCACCAGGCCACUGGCCAGCCCUAGAUCUUUAUUUUAGAAAGAAAAUUGAGAAAAGGUGGAGAGAAUGGGUUGGUGGGGGAGGGGUGACACUGAGCUAGAGACCAGGAUGGAGGUAAUUAUGAUCAUCUGGGUGGGCAGCGAUGAAGAUGAAGGGGACAGAUGGGAAAGAUGGCCAUGAACCUGAGUCUGCAGGGCUUAUCGGCUCCCUGGAAGUUGUGGGAAGAGAGAGGGCGGUGGCC